GUCUGCACCUCUGAGAGCUGCCCUAAAGCCCGCCCGCGGGGCUCAGGGGUUGAGCGUCGACCUAGGAACCAGGAGAAGUAUAUUUUAUAAAAAGAACCAUUGGACGUCUGUCCCAGAGCCUCUACUCCAAACGCUCUCCUCACACACUCAGGCGUCGAUUCCGAAGGGAGGGGCCGCGCAGACGAGACCCAGGAGGGCGCUCGCUCCCGAGCUGGGGACUCACAUGGACCAGACGUCGAUUUUGGGGCCGUACUUCUUCCUGGCGAGCAGCUCGGGCGCGGCGUAGGCGGGGCUGCCGCACUGCGUGCUGAACGGGUCCGAGUGGCCCAGGAUCCCCGCACAGUUGCUCAGUCCGAAGUCUGCAAAGGGCGGACAGACGGCUAUCGGACGCGGUGGGAAACUCGGGAGGCGGCCCACGGACGAGUCCGUGACGUUACCACACGCGACCACGGAGCCCUCCGGCCGUCCGCGGGGGAGGCUGUGACGGAAGGGAUUUUCCAACCCCGUCUGGGCAGAGCCCGGACACUCCACCAGGUUCCGAAAGUCUCCAGCUCAGGGCGGGGGUGAAGAGCCCGAACCCCACGGGGACCGGCCGGCCCUCCGAGAGAGAAGGGAGACUGCGUUCCCCGGUUCCCGGUGCCGGCGUUCACCGACGAGGGGAGCCAGGCAUGGCUACGCCACGGCAGCACCUCCCAACCAGACACCCCCUCCCGUUACGAAGGCUCGCGGUUAAUCCGAAUAAAAUAACCACAAAG
This is a long non-coding RNA of Eptesicus fuscus (big brown bat), 755 nucleotides long. RefSeq lists it as uncharacterized. The transcript is spliced from 3 exons. NCBI's taxonomy places the organism in Eukaryota, Metazoa, Chordata, Mammalia, Chiroptera, Vespertilionidae. The record is from RefSeq and is a predicted model, not a curated record.